UGAUGACUUGAGCUGAAGUCAGAAGCUUAACGGACUAAGCCACCCAGCAGGUAUCCAAUUACCUGGAGGGCAAGCUGCUGCUGCUGCCGCUGCCGCUGAUCCAAGGACCACACUUUGAGAACCACUGUUCUAGAAGCUGCUUGUCUUUGCUAAGAGAGAAGCUUGGCUCCACCAGAGGACAGUGAAGGAGAAAUGUGAUGUACUUUCCAGUCCAUCGAAAGAUCGUGAUGGGAUACACAGUAUUCGGCGAUGUUAUCUCUGAGGUCAGUCGGGCUCUUUCAAAUGGUAAGAACUUCAUGCUUUUGUAAUUAAUUCAGGACGUAUGUUAAAUUCCUAAAUUGAGCUAUUUGAAUGUGGGGAUGGUUUUCUUGAUAGUGGUUUGAUGUUUUAAGAAAGUCACUGCCUACUCGAGAAACCAUGGUCUCCCAACGUAAAUUUCCCAUGGGAAGAGCUCCACAGAGAAGAAAGGGACCCGUUGUUCCCCCCUGUGUCAAUUGAAAUGUACAGACACCUGAAACCCAAAUAAAUGAGCAAAUAAAAGAUGAAAGCAUACAGGAGAUCAUCCUUCAAAUCCACAAAGACGAAAUAAUUAAAAACUAGGUGCACAUUACAGUGGUAAUAAUAAAACUUAAUAAUAUGUAGUAAUUACAUAAACAGAGAAACUGUGUUCCUCCAGGGCCUACUCCAUCAUUUUGUCUUGAAUUAUGAUUCACCUAAAUAUAUAUAUAUAUAUAUAUAUAUAUAUAUAUAUAUAUAUAUUCCAACUUCAGACCCUAGAACUAUGUUUAUAUCAGUGGUUCUCAAACUUUAGCAAGCAUGCAAAUCACAGGGAGGCCUUACUAAAACACAGAUUCUGGGGCACCGCCCACAAAGCGUCUGGUUCAGUAGAUCUAGAGGAGGCUCAAGAACUUGCAUGUCAAACAAUCUCAGGUGAAGCUGAUGCUGAUUGUUCAGAACCAUACUUUAGGAAUAUAUUAGAAUUAUCUGGGGUGCAAUUGCUAAAAAUCCCAAUUCUUAUACCAUACCUCAAAACAAUCAAAAUCAGAAUCUAUGGGGUUGGAACCCAGGCAGCCAUCAGUAUUUUUUUUUUUUUUAAGUUCUCAGGCAAUUCCAAUGUACAGCCAAAGUGGAGAAUGUCUAGUCAGAUCGGUAGUUCUCAAACUUUGGCACACGUCAGAAUCACCUGAAGCACUUGUUAAAUCCCAGAGAGCUGGCCCUUCUUCUAGAGUUUCUGAUUCAGUAAGUAUGGGUUGUGUCCAAGAAUAAGUAUUUCAAUCAAGUUCCCGGGUGGUGAUGCUAUGAAUCCUGGACCACACUUUGAGAACGAUGGGUUAGACCGACUUCAGUUUGACUGCACUUGGUCUGUUGGGGGAUCUGGUACAAAACACUGAAGUUAGCUUCCCCUCUGACCCUCCAAAAAACAACAAAAACUGGGCAUUGGGACUUAUAUCUUCUGAGAUGGUGUUUGGCCUAAGUGUGCUGUCCAUGCUCUCCAGGUGAUUCUAAUGUGCAGCCAGGAUUGAGAGCCACACAAAACCAAGGAAAGGCAGGGAUGGGAUACAUGUGUCACCUGCAAUGCUUGCUGCUCAUUGGGUUAAAUAUGACUUCUUCCAACUAAAACAUAUUCCUGCUUUAAUCACUAUAUGCAACAUACAUCUUUGCCUAAGAAAAGUACUACAUUGAAAUAAAUGCAAGAUUAUGACAGUCA
Molecule: long non-coding RNA, 1708 nt
Organism: Prionailurus viverrinus (fishing cat)
Lineage: Eukaryota; Metazoa; Chordata; Mammalia; Carnivora; Felidae
Exons: 2
Source: RefSeq, a predicted model, not a curated record